GAUGAACGCUGGCGGCGUGCUUAACACAUGCAAGUCGAGCGAAGCACCUUGAAGUCCUCGGACAGAGAGGCGACUGAGCGGCGACGGGUGAGGCAACGCGUGGGUAACCUGCCUCAUACAGGGGGAUAACAGUUGGAAACGGCUGCUAAUACCGCAUAAGCGCACAGUACCGCAUGGUACGGUGUGAAAAACUCCGGUGGUAUGAGAUGGACCCGCGUUGGAUUAGCUAGUUGGUGGGGUAAAGGCCUACCAAGGCAACGAUCCAUAGCCGGCCUGAGAGGGCGAACGGCCACAUUGGGACUGAGACACGGCCCAA
RNAcentral lists this ribosomal RNA (316 nucleotides) under uncultured bacterium. RNAcentral describes it as "bacterial SSU rRNA". It matches the Rfam family "Bacterial small subunit ribosomal RNA", at positions 28 to 334 of the family's 1533-position model. The record is from RNAcentral.